RNAcentral lists this ribosomal RNA (253 nucleotides) under uncultured bacterium. Its description in RNAcentral is "partial 16S ribosomal RNA". It matches the Rfam family "Bacterial small subunit ribosomal RNA", at positions 524 to 776 of the family's 1533-position model. The record is from RNAcentral.
UACGAAAGGUGCGAGCGUUAAUCGGAAUUACUGGGCGUAAAGCGCGCGUAGGCGGUGUGUUAAGUCGGAUGUGAAAGCCCAGGGCUCAACCUUGGAACUGCAUCCGAUACUGGCACGCUAGAGUGCAGUAGAGGGAGGUGGAAUUUCCGGUGUAGCGGUGAAAUGCGUAGAGAUCGGAAGGAACACCAGUAGCGAAGGCGGCCUCCUGGACUGACACUGACGCUGAGGUGCGAAAGCGUGGGGAGCAAACAGG